AUAUUUUUGAUGUAUUAUAAAAUAUUGAAAUAAAAUGAAGAGUUUGAUCCUUGCUCAGGAUGAACGCUGGCGGUAUGCUUAACACAUGCAAGUCUAACGAUUGAUUAUAGUGACGGACGGGUGAGUAACGCGUAAGAAUCUACAUUUAGGAGAGGGAUAACAAUUGGAAACGUUUGCUAAUACCUCGUAAUGCUAUUAAGCUAAAGAAAAUUUUCGCCUAGAUAUGAGCUUGCGUCUGAUUAGCUAGUUGGUUAGGUAAUGGCUGACCAAGGCAACGAUCAGUAGCUGGUUUGAGAGGAUGAUCAGCCACACUGGGACUGAGACACGGAACAGACUCCUACGGGAGGCAGCAGUGAGGAAUUUUCUGCAAUGGGUGAAAGCCUGACAGAGCAAUACCGCGUGGAGGAUGAAGGGUUUUGGCCUGUAAUCUCCUUUUCUCAUUGAAGAAAAUUUGACGGUAUUUGAGGAAUAAGCAUCGGCUAAUUUCGUGCCAGCAGCCGCGGUAAUACGAGAGAUGCGAGCGUUAUCCGGAAUUAUUGGGCGUAAAGCGUCUGUAGGUGGUCGAGUGUGUUUAAUGUUAAAGAUUAAAGCUUAACUUUAAAAAGGCAUUAAAAACUACUGGACUUGAGUAUGAUAGAGGUAAAGGGAAUUCCCAGUGUAGCGGUGAAAUGCGUAGAUAUUGGGAAGAACACCAAUGGCGAAAGCACUUUACUAGGUUAAUACUGACACUGAGAGACGAGAGCUAAGGGAGCAAACAGGAUUAGAUACCCUGGUAGUCUUAGCCGUAAACGAUGGAUACUAAGUGGUGUGUAAAAGCGCUGCUGUAGUUAACACGUUAAGUAUCCCGCCUGGGGAGUACGCUUGCAAAAGUGAAACUCAAAGGAAUUGACGGGGGCCCGCACAAGCGGUGGAGCAUGUGGUUUAAUUCGAUGCAACACGAAGAACCUUACCAGGGUUUGACAUGCUAGGAAGUUUUUUGAAAGAAAGAUGUGCCUUCGGGAACCUAGACACAGGUGGUGCAUGGCUGUCGUCAGCUCGUGUCGUGAGAUGUUGGGUUAAGUCCCGCAACGAGCGCAACCCUCGUUUUUAGUUAUGUGAUAUCUAAAAAGACUGCCGGUGAUAAAUCGGAGGAAGGCGAGGAUGAGGUCAAGUCAUCAUGCCCCUUAUAUCCUGGGCUACACACGUGCUACAAUGGUUUAGACAAUGAGUUGCAACUCUGUGAAGACAAGCUAAUCUCUUAAACUAAGCCUCAGUUCGGAUUGUAGGCUGAAACUCGCCUACAUGAAGUCGGAAUCGCUAGUAAUCGCCGGUCAGCUAUACGGCGGUGAAUCCGUUCUCGGGCCUUGUACACACCGCCCGUCACACCAUGGAAGCCGGCCUUGCCUGAAGAUGUUAUUUUAACGAAAGAGAAAAACAUUUAAAGCCGGGUUGGUAACUGGGGUGAAGUCGUAACAAGGUAGCCGUACUGGAAGGUGCGGCUGGAACAACUCCA
Molecule: ribosomal RNA, 1492 nt
Filed under: Colacium mucronatum
Lineage: Eukaryota; Euglenozoa; Euglenophyceae; Euglenales; Euglenaceae
Description: bacterial SSU rRNA
Rfam family: Bacterial small subunit ribosomal RNA
Source: RNAcentral